This 253-nucleotide ribosomal RNA is filed under the name uncultured bacterium. RNAcentral describes it as "partial 16S ribosomal RNA". It matches the Rfam family "Bacterial small subunit ribosomal RNA", at positions 524 to 776 of the family's 1533-position model. The record is from RNAcentral.
UACGUAGGGACCGAGCGUUGUCCGGAAUCAUUGGGCGUAAAGAGCGUGUAGGCGGCCACUUAAGUCCUGCGUGAAAUCUUGCGGCUCAACCGCAAGCGGUCGUGGGAAACUGGGUGGCUAGAGUGCGGGAGAGGAGAGUGGAAUUCCCGGUGUAGCGGUGGAAUGCGUAGAGAUCGGGAAGAACAUCAGUGGCGAAGGCGGUCUGCUGGGCCGUUGCUGACGCUGAGGCGCGACAGCGUGGGGAGCAAACAGG